Molecule: non-coding RNA, 8905 nt
Organism: Xyrichtys novacula (pearly razorfish)
Lineage: Eukaryota; Metazoa; Chordata; Actinopteri; Labriformes; Labridae
Source: the annotation of a GenBank genome assembly
GCUGGGUUCACUGACCCCCAACCUCCACCUUCAUCCUGAUCGUCUCCUAAAAGGUCGUAUCCUCCGAUCGUAGCUGAUCGUAACCAUUCAAGUUAACGUGUCAAUUUACACCGACUUCUUUCCGUUCCUCUGCGGAUCGCCGGACUCCUCAGCUGAUCACAAGAGUUCUAUUGUUUCUGGACGCCGGAGCAUGGCGGAUAAAUUCAGCACAGAUUAACCCGUGCUGGAAAGGAAGUCGGGCACAGACACAAAAUAAAACAUCCGGCUUCUCUUCAAAAUAUUCGCCUCACAAACAGAUCUGGUAGGAAUUGGCAGACGGUAAAAAUCGCUGCAGUUCCGGAUCAGAGCUGUUCCGGAUGCGGUGAAAAUUGAGGGUAAAGUCUACAGAGUCUGGUCUGCUGAGUUCACUUAGGUCUACAGAAAGUUGGGGGACUUGAAACUUCUGCUGAAACUUCAGGAAUUGGAUUUGUUUAUCGACCAACAUUUAGGGUCCUCUGGUGCAGCCUGAAGACCCCCCCAGGAGACCAGUUUCUGCAGUUUGGACUGUUAAUGGAUAUCUGAUACAGGACAUUUCAGAGCCUUUACUUUUCCCUUCGUUACAAUAAUGAGGUGGACUUUAUACUUCUGUCCUCAACAAGUCUCUCCUACGUUGUGCUCACUUGUGCAUCCUUGGUUAAAGGCACAUUAAACCAGCAGAAGACCUCUGGGCUCACUGGGAACAGGCUGCAGAGACUACAUAACCCAUCUGGUCUGGGAACAUCUUCAGGUCCCACAGGGGGAGCUGGGAGACAUGCUGGGGAAGGACAUCUGGACAAUGUCGCUCGGCCUGCUGCUAAGAGCAACCGGUGCGAAACAACAACUGCCAGAUCGAUUGAUGAAUCGAUUUUAUCGCGGCGCAAUCCGAGGCGUGUUAAAAUCCUAAUCACUUCAGACGCCGGGGAACAGCAGGAGCGGAGGUAAUAACACAUUUGUUUCCUCUUCAAAGAAGCAUUCACAGAAUCAAUAUGGAGUUGAAAUGGAGCCUGCAGAAGACUGACAGCCUGCUCCUGGUAAUUCUGUGUGUGUGUGUGUGUCUGUGUGUGUGUGUGUUCGUGCACAGACAGCAGACAAUGCCUCGGUAAUCUCCAGCACAAGCAGUUGGUCGGUGCUGAAUGUUGACUGGCAUAAUUGCAGUGAGAGGACUUUGAUUUCACGGCCCAUUGAGUGCAGAAUGUGCACACGGAGCUGUUUGGACAGACGCCACGGCUCAGUGGGCCACCGGGCGCGCUCUGCCUCCUGCCACACGGCGAAGCAACAGGGUACAAUUAGAGGCGAGGCUUUGAGAUCAGGCGUCUGAUGGAGGAUGCAGCCCCACGCCACCUGAGUGUGCGUGUGAGUGUGUGUGAGUGUGUGUUAGGUUUGCACGCCGGCUUCUGUCUGCACUUUCAUCCGUGACCUGUCAUAUUAGCGAGGCCUCCCCAUGAGCAAAUAUAGAUUUUGGGAGAAUUUGCUCUCCCCUGCAGCGAUAACCCGCUCUCCUCGCUCUCCUCUUCUUCACGUCUCUGGCUGUCUUCCAGUAUCUCUCCUUCCUCCCACAAAGCUCCGGGUGUGAAACCCUCCAAAAGAAGGAUGUGAAAGAAGUCCAGAGUGAGAGGAAAUGGGAUUUUAGCGGCCUAUUUUACAGCUUUCAGACUGUCGAGGGUGAACUGUUGAGGAUUAUUAGCUGUGAGGGCGUGAUGGAGAGAAGGACGGGACAGACGCUCGCUGGCUUUGCUAACUGAUUUCUCUUAGAGAGGUAAUUUCCCACCGCUCUCUGUGCCAGGAGACCUUCACAGCCCUCCACUUACUGCAACAUUUAAUGCUCCAGCCCUCACACACACACUCACAGCAUGCAGCCCGGCAGAGCUUUCAAAGAAACGCUGAAAUUAAAUUAGAAGUUACACUGAUGUCUAAAUUAAAUUAAAAGUCAAAGCUGCUUCAGUAUUCAAUUACAAAACUCGACCAGGUUGAAAUGUUGGAGUCGGAGCGUCGCUUCGGGACACCGGAUGAUAAAAACAUUUAUCUCUGCAGGUUGGCGUGGACACCUUACCCCCGCAGAGACUGAACAGAAAGCUGCCAAUUAAGAGGUCCACGUUUAAUCGAGCUUCAGCUCCAACAGAGCAGAACCUGAACUCAGAGAGAGGCGAUUAAUAACAAUGGAGAAGUAAAACUAAUGACAGAGCUGCAAACACGGGCCGUGAAGAAACUAUGAAUGCAGAAAUCUUCUGAUUGAAGUCUCUACAACUCCUGCACACACCUGUCUGUCUGUCUGUCUGUCUGUGGUAAACUGGACUCUUUUGGGACAGUAUUCAAAGAUCCUCCUAAAGUCGAGUAAGUGUCCCGGUUCCUAAAUUCUAAUAAAUAAACCUCAAAUUAACUUCUGUGGAGUUUCCCCCCUGCUGGACACCAGAGAGAAUGCAGGUUUAGUCCUCGCCCAUAUAAGGAGAUCCUGAUAGUUAAACCCAAACCAGCUCUUCCCACAGAUUACAGCUGUUACAUUCCUCACGCCUCAUUAGCUCAGAGUCCUACCUGAUAGCUGGAUUUAUUUCCUGAAGGCCACACAGACGGAGAGGAAGAGAAGAAGCAGCUCCAACAGAGCCGUGAGAAAACUACACCUAACCCAGACUUAGUAAUCAGCAGGCAGGAGAGACGCUGUACUCAGGGGUGAACGAGGACAUCACACACUCUCAAACACCUUUUCUCCUCUGAAAGGGAAGGUAUGGACCGGAUGGGUCGGAUCAAUAAUCCCAUCGCAUUAUUGUUCCUGCUUGUCCAACAGAAUAAUGAGAAACUUAUCUCAUUCAUGCUGCAGGAGUCCUGCUGCAGUAAACACGGCGCUCAUAUCAGAGGAGGACAGAUGUGAAGGAGAAUAUUAACACUGAGGUCUGUCUGUCUGUCUGUCCAGGCUCAUUCUGCAGUUUCUGUCUUUUACUCAGGCUGCUUUAGGAGGACAGAGUCUCUGUAUUGAUCACAUUUACUCCUCUGCAGAUCCAGAUCACACAGGGUUAGACUAAACUCCAAGACUUGUUACGUGUAAACUAAAAUACAUAAACAUGUUUAAUAAUGUGUUUAAAAUGCAUGUUUCUAUUCCCUCACAGUGAGUUGGAGCUGGUGUUGCUUUCAUCAACGAAAAUUAUGUUGAAAUAUCGCCGUCAACGAACCUUUAUCACGUGAUGAAAAUGAGACGAGACUAAACAUAAUGGUGGUUUUAUGACGAUAACUGUGACUAAAUAUAUAAUGAAAUAUCACUGACGAAUAAAAACAAGACGAAAUGUGGUUCACAAAAAAAAACUCUGCUAAAAUGUCUCUUCACGAAAACCAAUAGAAACUAAAAAGACAGUUUGACACGAAGACUAAAACUAAAACUAAAAUUAAAACAGGCCGACAAAAACAACAAUAGUUGGAGCAGAAUUCAAAUUAAUUCUUUGAAUAAACAAAAGGAUCUUUUUCAGAUAUUUUCCUCCUAAAGCAGAAACAUCAGAGGCUGGAAAUGACAGACUUUAGGCGCAGAAGUGCAGUUCCACUCAUGUCCACUAGAGGCUGUGUCCAACAGUGAGUCAGUCCCCAUAGAGCCCCAUGUUAAAAUGUCCAACUUCGCAGCAGGAAUAAAUAAGUUUACAGGCUGGUACAGAAACAGUCCUGGUCACUACGGCUCAUUUAACCCACCCGUCAAGUUUUAACAGAGCUCAUGGUGAAGUACAGUUGGGGGUGUGGCCUCUCUGAGUGACCAAUAAGAGCUGCUUGCUGUCUGCUUAGCCUGAGCCCUUUCAGUCUCUCUCUCUUUCUCUCUCUCUCUCUCUCGUUCCGACUCCCCCCCGCUGCCUCUCCUCUGGUGCCGUCGUCGGCUCUGGAGGGACCGCAGUAAUGACCAGUAUGAUUAAUCUCACAGGAACAGGAAAGGAAUCAAUUGAAGGUGAAAAGCGUGAAAACCCUCAGGUGCAUUAAUAACUCGGUCGUCCCGCUGAGUUCAGACGGAGCUCCUCUCAGUCGAGCAGGUAGCUCAGGAAACAUGACGUUAAGCUCUUCCUCUCCACUGAGUUUGUGUCUCUCCUCAUCCUUUCCUGUCAGACGCUCUUUUUAUCUUUUCUUUUGUUUCUCAGUUCUCAUAAUCAUAUUUUCUCUUCAAAGCAAGUGCAAUAAAAACCAUCCUAAAAUCAGCUUCAAAGACUUUCAGUGUGUCAGAGGAUGAAGAUAAGGAGGAUGAUGAUGAUGAGUUUAAAAGUUUCCUAUUAGCUCCAGUUUAGCUUCCACUGCUGCACCCACUGACAGAGAACAUAAACUCUUCAUAAUGGGCCUCAACACUGACUACAGUUCACCCAACAACCUCUGAGUUCAACUGUUAAAUCAAACACAGCCAUGAUUAUAAUAAUGGUAAUAAAUAUGUGAAUAAUGAAAAUAGUGAGAUAAUAAUAGUAAUGAUAAUUAUGAUAAUGACAAUAAUAAUAAUGAUAAAAAAUAAUGAUAAUUAUGGUAAUAAUGAUAAAAAUAAUAAAAUUAAUCAUAAUAAAUAUGCUGUAAUAACGACAACGAUAAUUAUAAUAAUAAUAAUAAUAGUGAUAUUAAUUAUAAAAAUGAUAACAAUAAUAAAAAUAUGAUAGUGAUAAUGAUAACGUUGACAAUGAUAGAGAUAAAAAUGAUAACAAUAACAAUGAUAAUUAUGGCAAUAAUGAUAAAAUAUUUAUGAUGAUAGUGAUAAUUUUAACGACAAAAAUGAUGAUAAUAAUGACAAUGAUAAUAAUGAUAAAAAUGACAACAAUCAUGGUAAUAAUGAUAAAAAAUAAUAAAACUAAUUAUAAUUAAUAUGGUAAUAACGACAACAAUAAUUAUAAUAAUAAUAAUAGUGAUAUUAAUUAUAAAAAUGAUAACAAUAAUAAAAAAUGGUAAUGGUAAUGAUAAUGAUAAAGAUGACAAUGAUAAAGAUUAAAAUGAUAAUAAUAAUAAUAAUAAUAAUGAUAAUUAUGGCAAUAAUGAUGAAAAUAUUUAUGAUGAUAGUGAUAACAAUAAUAAUGAUAUUUAUGAUUAUGAUAAUAAUAAUUAUGUUAAAAAUGACAAUGAUAAUAAUGACUAUGAUAGCGAAGAUUUUAAUGAUACUACUGAUAAUGGUUAUGAUAAUAACAAUAACAUUAAUAAUAAUAAUAAUAACACAGUUUGCAAUAAAUGUUUGGGGUGCAGCUGAAGUCGAGUGGCGUAGAUCUUCAGAGUCUAGAGCCUCAUAUAUACUGAGCGUUUUAGGCAGCUGUGACCUAUAAAGUAGAUUUUGUGUUUUUUUUAAUGACCUGAAGACUAAAAGAAACAAAAGUACAAGUCAGGAAUUAAGUCAGGAAUCUUUUCUGGAUUUACUUUUCCUGGUUCACUAACGGAGAACUUCAGAAAGGCUUCAGAUAAACCUCCUUUAAGCCCCCUAAACAUCCUACAGGAGGACUUUGACCCUCACUAAUCAGAGCUUCAGUGAGUUCUUUGAAAUUGUCGGUUUAUUUGGAGUCCGGCGUGCUCUCGUUUUCAGGUUUGGAUUUUUUUCUCCUGUUGUCUCUGUGCACAGCUCUGCAGUUUUCUCCUCCUGUCUCCUCUGUUAAAUCCCUGACCUUCACUCUCCAAACACUCUGAACUCCCAGCAGAGACGCUCCACGGUCACAUUUUUCUGCAGACUCCAGGUGUUUCAUCACUCAUCAUGGACCUAAUUCUGAAGAAACCUGCCUUACAGUGAACAUACACACACCUUACACAUCUCUAAUUCUCCCUCUAACUCUGUCACAGCGGCACAAAAAAGCCUUCAGCUGCAGCUUAAAGAGGACUUUGGAGAGGAGCUUGUCACUUCAGUCGGCCGUGACAGUCAGGCUGCAGCAGCAGCAGCAGCAGACGGUGACUCACCGAGUAAAGCUGGACGGAGCUUUCAUCUGCAACAGCUCUGAGCGUUUAGUCCUUCACUGCUUUGUCAUAGAGAUGUCUCAGAGUCUGACUCUGUUAGCAAACAGUCUGACAGGCCUGCACAAACACCACAAAAACACCUCAAACUCAUCUCCUACGUCUUCUCGGUGGACUUCAAACCAAGACCAGAUGCACGUCUCUACAGAUUACACAUUCAUCUGCAGUUUUUGUGAGCAGCUCUUUUCUUUGACUAUCAGUCCAUCCCUGUCCUGGAUCUUGAUUUACUCUGCUUUGGAUCAGCUCAGCUGUAUCUUUAUAAUGUCUGAAAAUGCUCCUCAAAGACUGUUCUGUUCUUAGACAUGCUGGUUAACAAGAAUAAGAAGAACUUUAUUCAUCAAAUUCAAUUAUAUAUUCAUCCACGUCAGCAGUCCUGUGGCUGAUGUUUCCUCUUAAAAUGAUUGUACGGCUCACCCCCAAUUUUCACCACAACUACUAAAAGGUCGUAUCCUCCGAUCGUAGCUGAUCGUAACCAUUCAAGUUAACGUGUCGAUUUACACCAACUUCUUUCCGUUCCUCUGCGGAUCGCCGGACUCCUCAGCUGAUCACAAGAGUUUGAUUUUUUUAUCGGACACCAGAGCAUGGUGGAUAAAUUCAGCACAGAUCAUAGAACCCACUGCCUCCACAUUAGUCUGCACUAGUCUCCACCCUCCAAUCUCCAUCAACCAAUCAGUGCAGUGCCUCAUCAUCAUAGCAUGGCUGCCCAAUCAGAUCUCUGCUUGGAUAACAAGGUUAGAAACUGAGGGGCUGCCGAUCCUCCACUCUGAGAUGUAAAAGACUAACCAGGACAUGUCGACGAUGCAUUUACGGGAGCGGUUUGGACUCCAUCCUGAACUUUAGUCUCAUUUUAAGGAAGCAGCUGAAGGAUGGUUGGAAGAGUCCUGAGGAGAGUGAGUUUUCUCUCUCUUCAGAUCGUUCUCAGACUGAACUCAGUUCAGAGAGGAUUUCCUGAGGUCUGCUUCCUGAGAACAGUGUGAAGAUUGGAUAAAAAAGUCGCUCAGUGCUCCUUUUAUUCUGGAUUUGGAUGUUUCUGUCCUUUUAACCCUCUGAAGUAAAUGAGCGAGCUCUUUGAGGACUUGCUGUGAAUGAAUUUUGGGUCGGUAAAAACAGAGAGGGGUCAUGGAGGAAGCAGGAGAAGCUCUGGGGUUUAACUUUAAAAGGAAGUUUCUCCAAAGUCAAACUUUCUCCUGUCAGCGUAAAAAGACUUCAAAGCUGCUUUGAUUUGCUCUUGGAUUUUACCGUUUUUAUGGCUGAAGUUUGAGACACAAACCAGAAAAGAAAUCAUCAGUCUGGAGUUUUAAACACCUGUUAAACUCUGCCUCUGAACUCCUAAACGGGAGGAUUUCUGCGGUGUUUUGGAGCGGUUUAGCCUCCAUCAUUGACAGACCGAUCUAAUUUUGGUCUCAGAGGAAUCUCAAAUCUGUAACUUCACCUGUCAGAGUUAAACUUUCUUCUUGUUGUUGUUGGACUAAAUCCACUGAACUGUUUACUCUCAUUUAUAACUCUGAAUCUUAAAAAGGUUUCUCCCUCCGCUGAAGCGCUCCAUCUGUGAGCUUCUAAACAAGAUAGAUCUACAUUUGCACAAGAACAGACAGAGGAGCUGAUUCAAUUAGGACAGAAAUCCCCACCUCCUCCUCCUCCUCCUCCUCCUCCUCCUCCUCCUCCUCCCACACUGUUCAGAUGAAAGUUUUCUCUUUGGUUUGAUAUUCAGGGAAACAGGAUCUGACACCUGGACCGUCCAAACAUCAGCAGGACGUCUCACCUGUCCCUGAGAGACAGACAGACUGUGGGCCUCGUGAGUGUGGGGGCUGUCAGGACGUCCCACUGUAGCUUCACGAUAAUCGAGGCCAUAAUAACAACAACAAAAACAACAACAACAUCGUCACAGUAUGUAUGAUAGAAGAGAACACGAUCAGAUGAACUGAGGAGCAGCAAAACAAAGGAGGAGUUACACACGACUUUAUAAACUCUUAUAUUGUCACACGGUUUUUAACGUCACACUGCCCAACACGAAUCAAAGUGCCGACCUGUAAAAAUUUGCUCUACGGUUUAUACCGGAGAGAGAGAGCAGAUGUGUGCCGCGUCUCUCUAAACUCCAAUUUCCACCUUCAUCCUGAUCGUCUCCUAAAAGGUCGUAUCCUCCGAUCGUAGCUGAUCGUAACCAUUCAAGUUAACGUGUCAAUUUACACCGACUUCUUUCCGUUCCUCUGCGGAUCCCCUGAAUCGCUGGUGGCCUGUGUUGGAUUUUGGGGUCUCAGGAUCGUUUUAGUUCUUAUUUUACUCUUUUUAUCGCGUUAUUUUUUAUUGCAUUUUAGUCUUUCCACUGUGAACGUAUUGCACACUGGUUAUUAUGUAGUUAUUUAUUUAUCGCUGCUCUGUGGAGCUGACAGGGGAAUGUUUGGGUCAUGCUGUGAAUGUCUGGUAUUCAUCUGUUCCUGAUGAAUUAAGUCGUCUGAAUCUGAAUCUAAAUCAGAAUUUUGACUUUAAAUUAUAUUAAAAAUUAUAAAAAUUAUAUUGGCCCUUCUUUUUUUUUUUCCAGUGGCCCUCAUCGUCUUCCGUAGAAGUCAGAGCAGCUUGUUUGUUUUUUUUUCUUGAUUUAAUCAGGCUGUAGUUUAGUCCGGUUUGUGUCCCUCUGUUGUCCACCGAUAAAUAAAGAGACUGUAGAGUCAGAAACAGAGCGUGGUCGACCUUUUCUCAUUUAUUUCUCCUGGUCUCCUACACGGGGCCAAACUACAACAAAAAGGUAAAUCUCAGCAGCAGAGGAGACGCUGCGCCUCCUGGUACCGCUCUGAUGAAACAGGAGCUGAACCCUGACUCCUCUCUGAUGAGGAAAACAAAUCCGCUCCUGCGAAGUGACCCCGCAGCCGCCCUCUCAGCUGGAGCUCGCCGUAAUACGGUGACGGGGCCAUCGCACAAAUGUCCCAGGAUUCAUUGGGUUUGUGUGAGGAGACGCGCCAACGCAACC